Molecule: small nucleolar RNA, 136 nt
Organism: Apodemus sylvaticus (European woodmouse)
Lineage: Eukaryota; Metazoa; Chordata; Mammalia; Rodentia; Muridae
Product: small nucleolar RNA SNORA17
Exons: 1
Source: RefSeq, a predicted model, not a curated record
CCUGUUCCUAGAGGCAUUGCAGGUGUGGCAGCUGUGUCACAUAUGUGUCAGUAGGUGGCAGAGGGAAGAGAGGACAGGAUAUGUCUGUGUUUGGUGUUCUAACCUGUGAAUACUGAAUGAUUAGCAGACUAACACU